UACAGGGGGUGCAAACGUUGCUCGGAAUCAUUGGGCGUAAAGCGCACGUAGGCGGUUCGUUAUGUCGGAUGUGAAAGCCCUUGGCUUAACCGAGGAAGUGCAUCCGAAACUGGCGAGCUAGAGUACUAAAGAGGAUCGCGGAAUUCCCGGUGUAGAGGUGAAAUUCGUAGAUAUCGGGAGGAACACCGGUGGCGAAGGCGGCGAUCUGGGUAGAUACUGACGCUGAGGUGCGAAAG
Molecule: ribosomal RNA, 236 nt
Filed under: uncultured bacterium
Lineage: Bacteria
Description: partial 16S ribosomal RNA
Rfam family: Bacterial small subunit ribosomal RNA
Source: RNAcentral